This 73-nucleotide transfer RNA is filed under the name Felis catus (domestic cat). It matches the Rfam family "tRNA". Rfam says of the family: Transfer RNA (tRNA) molecules are approximately 80 nucleotides in length. Their secondary structure includes four short double-helical elements and three loops (D, anti-codon, and T loops). Further hydrogen bonds mediate the characteristic L-shaped molecular structure. tRNAs have two regions of fundamental functional importance: the anti-codon, which is responsible for specific mRNA codon recognition, and the 3' end, to which the tRNAs corresponding amino acid is attached (by aminoacyl-tRNA synthetases). tRNAs cope with the degeneracy of the genetic code in two manners: having more than one tRNA (with a specific anti-codon) for a particular amino acid; and 'wobble' base-pairing, i.e. permitting non-standard base-pairing at the 3rd anti-codon position. Lineage: Eukaryota; Metazoa; Chordata; Mammalia; Carnivora; Felidae. The record is from Rfam by way of RNAcentral.
GCCUUCCUGGCUCAGUCAGUAGAGUGUGUGAUUCUUGAUCUUAGAGUCAUGAGUUCAAGCCCCAUGUUGGGCA